GAAAGAUAAUGACCAAUAUUAGCAUGAAUAUAACUCUAAGACAACGUAUACUCAAGCGUUAUGUAUGGUCCACAUUAACGUAUGGCUCUGAGACAUGGACGAUAAAGAAGAACAUGAUCAAAAGGUUAGAAGCAGUAGAAAUGUGGUUCAUGCAAAGAAUGCUGAGAAUCCCUUGGAGUGCACGGAUCACUAAUGAAGGAUUGAGAAGAGUAGUAAUGGAAAAAACACCGGUGAAGAGUAUCAGGAGGAGACACCUCAAUUUUGUGGGCCAUGUACUGAGAGGACAUGGACUGUGGGAGAGAAUGCUUGUUGGGGAGAGUAUAAGGAACCAGCGAGAGGAAGACAGAGGGUCAAGUUUAUGGACACAUUGGUGAAACACGUCAGUGAGGGCUGGACAACUGUGGAUCGGGUUAGAGUGGCUCAAAACAGAGGAGGAUGGUGUUCCAUGGUCGCCGACGUCACGUGACAGGCACCUCGGUAAAGGAAAGUCAAGCCAAUAGUCCCUGAAUGUUGCCAAGGAGACACACUGCACCACCAAGCCAAGCCAAGCAAGCCACAAUG
Long non-coding RNA from Portunus trituberculatus (swimming crab), 561 nucleotides. RefSeq lists it as uncharacterized. The record is from RefSeq and is a predicted model, not a curated record. NCBI's taxonomy places the organism in Eukaryota, Metazoa, Arthropoda, Malacostraca, Decapoda, Portunidae. The transcript has 2 exons.